ACUUAAACAAUCCGCCUGCCUUGGCCUCGGAAAGCGCUGGGAUUACAGCAGGAGCUACUGCGCCCACCAGACAAAAGCCAUCUCAGAGUCUUGCCUGGGCAGCCACUCCCACCUCGGAAGCUUCUAGGGGAAGUGCCCCCUGACUGUCCCAGGGCCCCUGUGCCACCGCAGAGGAUAAGCGACCACCCGGCCAACAUUCACCCCAAAUUCCUCAGGGUCCUAAAGAUCUCCGGAGCGAGCCGGAAGAGCCCACACCUGACUGCCAACAGACAAUAGAUGUCCUCCACGCUGCGCGACCGGAUAUCACUGACAUCCCCCUGCGGAACCCAGAGGAGGUACUGUAUACAGAUGGCAACAGUUUCAUGGUCAACGGAGUCAGGUAUGCCAGGGCAGCUGUGGUCACCCUAGAGCAGUUAUCUGGGCCCAGGCUCUUCCACACAGAACCUCAGCCCAAAAAGCAAAACUCAUAGCUCUGAUAAAGGCCUUGGACUGGGCGGAGGGAAAGACUGUCAACAUCUACACUGAUAGCCAAUAUGCCUCUGCCACGGCCCAUGUACAUGGAGCCAUAUAUAAAAAAAGAGGGCUGCUUACCUCAGAGAAAAAAGUCAUCAAAAACAAAGAGAAAAUCCUAGCCCCACUAGAGACUGUAUGGAAGCCCAAGGCCAUGACAUUAAUACACUGCAAAGAACACCAGAAGAGAAAUUCACCAGAGGCAAGGGGAAAUAGGACAGCUGACCUGCAAGCCAGACAGGUGGCCUUGGGGCUAGUAAAACCUCUGACUCUUCUUGUAACUCUGCUGGCCCCAACUCUCUAAAAAACAAGGGAGAUGGCAAGAUUCCACAGGAUGAUGGACUCUACCGGACACAAAAAUUGUGCUCCCUGAGGCUCUAGAAUGAACUCUAGUUAAGGACACACACACCAGGCCACUCACUUAAGACAAUCAAAACUAAGCUGCUGAGGGCCAGAUACUACAUCCCACACUUACAUGAGAUUGUUAGAAAAACUACGACUCAAUGUAAUGUACGUGCCAGGGUAAAUCC
Molecule: non-coding RNA, 1040 nt
Organism: Saimiri boliviensis boliviensis (Bolivian squirrel monkey)
Lineage: Eukaryota; Metazoa; Chordata; Mammalia; Primates; Cebidae
Source: RefSeq, a predicted model, not a curated record